This 923-nucleotide ribosomal RNA is filed under the name uncultured candidate division MSBL1 archaeon. Its description in RNAcentral is "bacterial SSU rRNA". It matches the Rfam family "Archaeal small subunit ribosomal RNA", at positions 1 to 922 of the family's 1478-position model. The record is from RNAcentral. Lineage: Archaea; Methanobacteriati; Methanobacteriota.
UUCCGGUUGAUCCCGCCAGAGGUUACUGCUCUGGGAGUCGGAUUAAGCCAUGCUAGCGGAGGGCAGCUCGGCUGCCCCGCGAAAAGCUCAGUAACACGUGAUCAAUCUACCCUUGGGACGGAGAUAACCCCGGGAAACUGGGGAUAAUACCCGAUAGGCGGGGGUUCUGGAAAGGUCCCUCGUCGAAACGCUCCGGCGCCCAAGGACGAGAUUGCGGCCUAUUAGGUAGUUGGUGAGGUAAAGGCUCACCAAGCCGAAGAUGGGUACGGGCCCUGAGAGGGGGAGCCCGGAGAUGGAGACUGAGACAAGGCUCCAGGCCCUACGGGGCGCAGCAGGUGCGAAAAUUCCGCAAUGCGUGCAGGCGUGACGGAGUGACUCCCAGUGCCGAUGGUCUAACGAUCGUCGGCUUUUCUGGAACGUAAAAAGUUUCAGGUAAUAAGGGCCGGGUAAGACUGGUGCCAGCCGCCGCGGUAACACCAGCGGCUCGAGUGGUAACCGAUUUUAUUGGGCCUAAAGCGUCCGUAGCCGGAUCGGCAAGUCCCUUGUGAAAUCGGACGGCUUAAUCGUUCGGCUUGCAUGGGAAACUGCGGAUCUUGGGGUCGGCAGGCGUCGAGGGUACUCCGGGGGUAGCGGUGAAAUGCUAUAAUCCCUGGGGGACCGCCAGUGGCGAAAGCGCUUGGCGGGGCCGAACCCGACGGUGAGGGACGAAGGCCAGGGGAGCGAACCGGAUUAGAUACCCGGGUAGUCCUGGCUGUAAAGUAUGUGGGCUAGGUGCUGGGCUUUCCUCGAGAGUGCUCGGUGCCGAAGGGAAGCCGUUAAGCCCACCGCCUGGGAAGUACGGCCGCAAGGUUGAAACUUAAAGAAAUUGGCGGGGGAGCACCACAAGGGGUGGAGCCUGCGGUUUAAUUGGAUUCAACGCCGGA